Molecule: non-coding RNA, 1942 nt
Organism: Doryrhamphus excisus (bluestripe pipefish)
Lineage: Eukaryota; Metazoa; Chordata; Actinopteri; Syngnathiformes; Syngnathidae
Source: RefSeq, a predicted model, not a curated record
GGGCGUGUCACCUCCAUAGUGACGUCAGCGUCUGCGCUCUGCACCGUCCAGCGAUAGUCAACGAUGUGGGCGUGGCCGACGGCCAGGCUCUCGAUGCCGUUCAGGGUAACGGUGGCUCCGGGCUGAACCACCCGGUCACGGCCCGCGUUGGCGAUGGGCGGAGCCUGCUCAGCUGAGGGGGGGGUGACAGUGACACGUGACCAACUUGUUUUCAUCAGCUCAGCAUGCAGCAACUUGCAACGUUUGUCUCCAGCAUCAGCGCAGGCGCAGAUCUAUCCCGUCUAGGGCUACCUCUCCUCGGGUACACUCACCUGGUCCCAGCGGGCCUUCCAGGUACUUCCGGUACUCGGCCUCUCUGAUGAAGCUGCGGUAGCCCUGCCGCUUGACGAACCUGCACACGAAGUGGUUCCUGUGCACGCAGUCGUAGAGCGUACACGUGAGGUUGCCGCGCGCGUCACGCGGCUCCAUCAGCGCCACGUUACAUCUGAACUCUGCGCAGCACGCGCGCCGGCAGUCGGCCAUUGUGGGAGAGUCAGCGACAGCCAACAGCACCGCACCCUCCUUCACCGCGUCCUCCAAAUCCAGCACGAAGUCGUCCUGACCGGACCGGAAGCUGGCCAAGCAGUUGGCGUCCUCGGCCGCACCGCCGUCCCGCAGCAGGACGAGGAGGAAGAGGAAGAGGAAGACGCACCGGAACAAUGACCCCGCCCUGCUCAGUGACGUCACACAGCUGGUUUCCUAGGAUGACUUUUCUCUCCACUCCAUCCUCCGAAAUGGAAGCCAGUCUGAUCACGCCACCGCUGGAACCAUCCCUCUCCAUCGCAAGGGAUAAUGCUGAGGUUGGAGUCCAUGAAGCCGUAAAUAUACGAACUGCCACUGCCGCCAACAGACACCGGCUGCCUCACCAGCAUCCCACCAAUAGGAACGCAGUACACCUGACACAAAGACACUUGUUGAUUACUGCCGCUGCAACAGUGUAGUGUAGUGUCGUGGUGGGCAAGCUCACGGUGCAAUGAAACCAAAACAACACAUCCACACUAAGUUACUGCAUCACGUAAAUCAAAUACUAACCAUGACUGAGCGCUAAACACAACUUCAAACUUACUUUCAAAUGCCCACGAGGCAUGCUGGGUAGUCCAGUGGCAACAACAAUAUGAACGAUGAACAACAAAACAGUGGAUAUGGAGAGUAUAUGGAGAGUUAUAUUUCUGACGACAUCCACGUAUUUGGAAAUCAAGCCAAAAUGUGAGAAACCAUACCCAGCAUGCCUUGCGGCUGAAUUAUGGCCACAUGGUGCAGUAGGUAGGCAAGUUUUGUGCAUUGUGUGUGUUGCCGUGUUGUUUGAGGUGUGCCACAGUUACAGUUUCAAUGUUAAAGGGUUAAAAAAAAGGAAUUUGGAAAUGCCUGGUGGCCUGGAUGAAUACGUUUUGCAGGCCGCAGUUUGCCCACCCUGGUGUAGUGUAGUGUCUGGAUGCCACGUACAAUAUUGCAGUACAAUAAUGGGCCGUUUUGGUCCACCCAGCAAGGGACAACACACCUGUACAGACCACAGUCUUGCAAUUCAGUUUGCACCGAGUGCGUUGGUGUGAGUGCACGCACUGGUGAACGGCCCUCUCCACACGUAAUGUCCUAUAUCCUAAACAGUUUAUAUUGCAAGUGAGAAACAGUCUGCCUAAAAGCUGAUGAAAAUUGAAAAAAAAAUACCUGGAACACCUUAGAUUUUAAUUGCAGUUUUAUGCUUCAUUAAAAAAACUCAAAAGCAAAGCAGUUUUAUUUUGCAUUGUGUUCCCUUACCCUACCGGUAAGUACAUACCAAAACAUGAGGAUGAUGUACCCCUGCACCCCUAGCGUGGUGUAGUAUAGUGUGUUGCUUUACCUGUCCACCCUUCCUCUUGUCCCAGCCUGCCACCAGUAUGCCAGCCAUCAGUUCUUCCCUGUAGCG